AACACCGUCAGCUUCCAUUGCAAGAACAAGCUCCAGGGCAGCGUGGUGUGAUCCGUUUUGAGCAUAAGCCGAGAUGAUCGCCGUCCAGGAAACCGUCGUGGGCCGAGGACACAGGUUUCUCUAUAAGCGAUCUGGCUCAAAACGCUGCGGACGAGCUCCCAGUUAACUCCGGCGGUCACAAGGCUCACACACGCAGCGAUGACACUCACGAACGUAACGCUGUCGGGUGACACACCCCUGUUCUUCAUCUCGCCAAACGCUUGAAUGGCUUCCAUGCCAUGCCCAAGCUGGGCAUACGCACC
Molecule: long non-coding RNA, 302 nt
Organism: Selaginella moellendorffii
Lineage: Eukaryota; Viridiplantae; Streptophyta; Lycopodiopsida; Selaginellales; Selaginellaceae
Exons: 2
Source: RefSeq, a predicted model, not a curated record